RNAcentral lists this long non-coding RNA (529 nucleotides) under Lupinus angustifolius (narrow-leaved blue lupine). RNAcentral's name for it is "long non-coding RNA (LANG_LNC003489)". Lineage: Eukaryota; Viridiplantae; Streptophyta; Magnoliopsida; Fabales; Fabaceae. The record is from RNAcentral.
GUAAUCAUUAUCAGGUAAAUGCUUUUAAAUUCUUUUGACAAAUUUAUUGAGUCAGAUUGAAAUAACAUUGUUUUCGAUCUAGAUGAACUGAAAUUUAAUUGGCUAAAUAAAGUUAUAGAUCCUAGACUUUGUUUUGGGUUGUGAGAACUGAAUCUAAUCUGAAAUCGGAUGACCCUAGUUGCCUAUAGUUUGAAAUCUGAAUGAGACCCUGAUUUACUGGAUUAUCUUAUAUGAAGUUACAGUAUGAAUUCUGCAUUCUCUAUUCAUAACCUAAAAUGGAAUGGUUUAGUUUCUUAAGUGUAAUUGUAGUAUUAAUUUUUUUAUUCAUAUUAUAAAUUGGUAUGGUAUGUUUGUGGCCAUGAUUUCCGUAAAUACAAUUGUUGUGUGGCAUGUUGGAAAAGCAUAGGAUAUGGGUUAUGCCUUGAUGAUGUAAAAUACAAUUGUUGUGUGGUAUGUAGUAUUAAUAAGAGACGUGUAUUGAUAAUGUAAAAUAGGAUGGUAUGCUUCAGCAAUAUGACCAUAAAUGUGA